GAUGAACGCUAGCGGCAGGCUUAACACAUGCAAGUCGAGGGGCAGCACGGGUAGCAAUACCUGGUGGCGACCGGCGCAAGGGUGCGUAACGCGUGAGCAACAUGCCCUAUACAGGGGGAUAAUCCAGGGAAACUUGGUCUAAUAUCCCAUAGUAUUUAGAGGAGGCAUCUUCUAUAAAUUAAAGCUUCGGUGGUAUAGGAUUGGCUCGCGUGACAUUAGCUAGAUGGUGAGGUAACGGCUCACCAUGGCAAUGAUGUCUAGGGGUUCUGAGAGGAAGGCCCCCCAACUGGGACUGAGACACGGACCAGACUCUACGGGAGCAGCAGUGAGGAAUAUUGGUCAAUGGGCGGAAGCCUGAACCAGCCAUGCCGCGUGCAGGAUGACGGCCCUACGGGUUGUAAACUGCUUUUCCCCGGGGCGAAUAACCCCUGCGAGGGGGAUGGCCGGUACGGGGAAUAAGGAUCGGCUAACGUCCGUGCCAGCAGCCGCGGUAUC
This 495-nucleotide ribosomal RNA is filed under the name uncultured bacterium. Its description in RNAcentral is "bacterial SSU rRNA". It matches the Rfam family "Bacterial small subunit ribosomal RNA", at positions 28 to 524 of the family's 1533-position model. The record is from RNAcentral.